GCGUCCGAGUAUAAACUCAACAUCGGAUUCAUUACAACGGUUCGUUCAGUUCCAGUUACGUUCGUCGUUCACAUUGGCGCGGAACAAAGUCGAACGCCGUGUCGAGUGCCGCGUUUAUUUAUGAUAGUGUAACGCGCGCGUUCGUGCCCACUCGAUAACCGAAAAUCUCCGGAAAAAAAAUCGUAUUAUUUUGCAGUGUUUCGGGUCUACGAUUUUAGACACGGUAUGCGGUACGCGUCACGCGAUGUAGACGGAACCCCGAAAGGUUCACGGGACGGCGCCAAAACCGGAAUUCGCCGCACGAGUAGUUGUAAAAACCGUCCCGUACGCGGUGUAC
This is a non-coding RNA of Cinara cedri, 337 nucleotides long. The record is from the annotation of a GenBank genome assembly. Lineage: Eukaryota; Metazoa; Arthropoda; Insecta; Hemiptera; Aphididae.